ACUCCCCCUAUCAGUCAUCCCCCAGCCUUCUCCGCUCCGCCUGGGAUAAGCAUAUCUCUCCCGAGACUGAAGAGAGCCUCCAAGCCAGCACACCAGAGCUCUGCAUCCAGGCCUGGAGCCACCGCAGCUGCUGGGGCCCUGGGAGCAUGAAUAAUAAUGUAAUGAUAACAAAAUAACAGUGUCAGUAGUAAUAAUAAGGAUGGCGAGAACAA
Long non-coding RNA from Homo sapiens (human), 212 nucleotides. RefSeq lists it as uncharacterized. The record is from RefSeq and is a predicted model, not a curated record. NCBI's taxonomy places the organism in Eukaryota, Metazoa, Chordata, Mammalia, Primates, Hominidae. The transcript has 2 exons.